CCGUAGGCGAACCUGCGGAAGGAUCAUUA
RNAcentral lists this non-coding RNA (29 nucleotides) under Mus musculus (house mouse). Lineage: Eukaryota; Metazoa; Chordata; Mammalia; Rodentia; Muridae. The record is from RNAcentral. RNAcentral also lists the same sequence under 1 other name.